CACCAGAGGGCGCAAUAAGAC
Molecule: transfer RNA, 21 nt
Filed under: Nerodia fasciata confluens
Lineage: Eukaryota; Metazoa; Chordata; Lepidosauria; Squamata; Natricidae
Also listed under: 1 other name
Description: partial tRNA-Ser
Source: RNAcentral